Molecule: ribosomal RNA, 249 nt
Filed under: Clostridioides difficile
Lineage: Bacteria; Bacillati; Bacillota; Clostridia; Peptostreptococcales; Peptostreptococcaceae
Description: partial 23S ribosomal RNA
Rfam family: Bacterial large subunit ribosomal RNA
Source: RNAcentral
UUUGGCGGAGCCAUCCUUGGGAUACCACCCUUGUAGUACUGGGACUCUAACCAUAGGCCAUGAAUCUGGUCUUGGGACACUGUCAGGUGGGCAGUUUGACUGGGGCGGGCGCCUCCCAAAAGGUAACGGAGGCGCUCAAAGGUUCUCUCAGUACGGUCGGAAAUCGUACGUAGAGUGUAAAGGCAAAAGAGAGCUUGAUUGCAAGACAUACAGGUCGAGCAAGGAUGAAAAUCGGACUUAGUGAUCCGG